Molecule: ribosomal RNA, 468 nt
Filed under: uncultured bacterium
Lineage: Bacteria
Description: partial 16S ribosomal RNA
Rfam family: Bacterial small subunit ribosomal RNA
Source: RNAcentral
GACGAACGCUGGCGGCGUGCUUAACACAUGCAAGUCGAACGGAAAGGCCCUGCUUUUGUGGGGUGCUCGAGUGGCGAACGGGUGAGUAACACGUGAGUAACCUGCCCUUGACUUUGGGAUAACUUCAGGAAACUGGGGCUAAUACCGGAUAGGAGCUCCUGCUGCAUGGUGGGGGUUGGAAAGUUUCGGCGUUUGGGGAUGGACUCGCGGCUUAUCAGCUUGUUGGGGGGGUAGUGGCUUACCAAGGCUUUGACGGGUAGCCGGCCUGAGAGGGUGACCGGCCACAUUGGGACUGAGAUGCGGCCGCGACUCCUACGCGAGGCAGCAGUGGGGAAUAUUGCACAAUGGGCGGAAGCCUGAUGCAGCAACGCCGCGUGCGGGAUGACGGCCUUCGGGUUGUAAACCGUUUUCGCCUGUGACGAAGCGUGAGUGACGGUAAUGGGUAAAGAAGCCCCGGCUAACUACGUG